GAUGAUAUGGCAUGGCUUUACUGGUGAUCGCUUAUAGCAGAGGAGAGUGAAUCAAUAUAUGAGUUUGGGAUUUGGAUAUUAGGGAGUAAUGAUACGGUGCAGGUGAGGGCUUGCCCUCCUUUCCAAGCAGGGGCAUUUCCCCAGCCAUGUUAGGAGGCACUGUACUCGCCGAGAACAAGCAGAGUUUAUUUGUUCGAUGAUUAUCCUAUGAUGACUCAUGGUUGCUGUUAUGGUGCCAUCUACUAAC
RNAcentral lists this long non-coding RNA (247 nucleotides) under Setaria viridis. Its description in RNAcentral is "long non-coding RNA (SVIR_LNC002725)". The record is from RNAcentral. Lineage: Eukaryota; Viridiplantae; Streptophyta; Magnoliopsida; Poales; Poaceae.